This 198-nucleotide unclassified non-coding RNA is filed under the name uncultured fungus. RNAcentral describes it as "sequence contains ITS1". The record is from RNAcentral. Lineage: Eukaryota; Fungi.
ACCCACGAAGGAAGCGAAGACAACGAGAGAGAGGUAACGGGGCAUAGGCGGACGACACCGUUCGGGAAGAGAGAACGCAAGCGUUCUCCGCCACGAAGCGGACAACGAUGGCGUGGGCUCAUCCGAUCUUGUUCGAACAACGGACAAGCAGUCUGCCGAAGGCAACGAUUGCGCCCGGCAUCAUGCAUUCAGACAUCG